Molecule: RNA transcript, 1888 nt
Organism: Monopterus albus (swamp eel)
Lineage: Eukaryota; Metazoa; Chordata; Actinopteri; Synbranchiformes; Synbranchidae
Gene: pcmt1
Gene name: protein-L-isoaspartate (D-aspartate) O-methyltransferase
Exons: 8
Source: RefSeq, a predicted model, not a curated record
GAGGCAUUUAUCUAAACAGGGUCAUUACAGUGUUAACUGGCACUAUUGCGCAUCAGGGUGUGGGUCAUAAAGGCUGCCCUGCAGUAAAAUAAUUUCGGAAGUCUGGUGACGUACCCGCCACUACGCCGUCUGUUCUGGAGGUUGUGAGCUUCAUCGGUAAAACGUUUGGCGCAGGCGCGGCACUGACAGCUGCUGUCUACUUACUCCGCAAAGUCUGCUUAAGAAUGGCCUGGAAAUCUGGAGGAGCCAGCCACGCAGAGCUUGUUAACAACCUCCGCAAAAAUGGCAUUAUUAAGUCCGACAAGGUCUAUGAAGUCUUGCUUGCCACAGACCGAGCCCAUUUCUCUAGGUGUAAUCCUUAUAUGGACUCUCCGCAGUCAAUAGGCUAUCAAGCAACCAUCAGCGCCCCACACAUGCACGCCUAUGCCCUGGAGCUUCUACACGAUCAGCUGUAUGAGGGAGCCAAAGCCCUGGACGUCGGCUCCGGCAGUGGAAUCCUGUCCGUUUGCUUCGCACGAAUGGUAGGUCCUAAAGGGAAAGUUAUAGGAAUUGAUCACAUCAAAGAGCUGGUAGAUGAUUCUAUAAACAACGUGAAGAAAGAUGACCCCAGUUUGAUCACAUCAGGCCGAGUCAAGCUAAUAGUGGGAGACGGGCGAAUGGGCUACACGGAGGAGGCACCUUAUGAUGCCAUCCAUGUUGGCGCAGCAGCACCCACUGUACCCCAAGCUCUUUUGGACCAGUUGAAGCCUGGCGGACGGCUGAUUUUGCCCGUCGGCCCAGCCGGAGGAAACCAGAUGCUGGAGCAAUAUGACAAGAUGGAGGAUGGCAGCACCAAGAUGAAGCCCUUGAUGGGGGUGAUUUAUGUGCCUUUAACAGACCGAGACAAGCAGUGGUCCAGGUGGAAGUGACUUCCUUCUCCCUCUCCUCCCUUUCUCUCCUUCUCACAGUGGCAAAGGUGAAAAGGGAUGAACUUUGAAGAGGAAGGCAGUCCAUAAUCCACCUUUAAGUUUGAACCUGGAGAAAACUUGGAUGGGGUCAAACAGCCCUUGACAUUUUGAUGAAAGCAUAACAAAACAUGCUCUUUUUGUUUAACAAUGGACUAGAGUAUCACACUGAUGUCAGCCCAGAACGGCUGGGGAGAAAGACUGCUUGAAGCUCAGCACUGAAAUGUUUGGACAUUUCAGGCCUGCAUCUUUUUUUGUUGUGUAUUCUUUCUAACUGCUGGAUUUUAGGUUUAUUUGCAUUUCUGUUUUGUUUUUGUGGUUUAAUCUGAGUUACACCCAUUUUUUGCAGUAUUACAUUUCAGCAGCAUCAAAGCUGAAUGUAUGAUGAACUCUGGACGACAACAAGGAAAUCUGUGAUUUUUAGAUGAUUCACCUAUCUACAGCGUAUAUGUGUGCACAUAUCAUCUAACUGUAGACUUCUCUGCUAACAUGAGCUUUUCUCCACUGCCAGCAGUAUUAGAAACACACACACACCGGCACCACAAAGGCUGAUAUAGCCCAUGCAUCCUGUUGUUUGACGCACCGUGCUCUUUAGGCCACUCCACACAUAGAAUAAGCAAUGCAUUGAGAGCGAAGCAGCAGUAACACCGACACAAGUGCACAUACAGGGCUGUGCUUUCCACUUGGUGAUGUGUAGCUUUCCUCUGCUGGUUUUCCAUUAACAGCUGUGCAGGCUCUUAUGGUGACUGACGCUACAUGAGAUCGUCACUGCUUUGCCAAAAUAAACUCCAACAAUAUAAAGCAAAUGAAUGUCUGUUUUCUUGGAAUUCAAAAACUACAUGAAAUCAAAAAAGCACAUUUUAUUUUAGGCGAUGUAAAUAAUGGAUGAUAUUUGGCUUUCACCAUUUCUGGAAUGGCAUAUAAAAAUAAAGAGAUGCUUAUGU